RNAcentral lists this ribosomal RNA (253 nucleotides) under uncultured bacterium. RNAcentral describes it as "partial 16S ribosomal RNA". It matches the Rfam family "Bacterial small subunit ribosomal RNA", at positions 524 to 776 of the family's 1533-position model. The record is from RNAcentral.
UACGGAGGGUGCAAGCGUUGUUCGGAUUUACUGGGCGUAAAGCGCGCGCAGGUGGGUGAACAAGUCGGCAGUGAAAUCUUGAGGCUCAACCUCGAGGCUGCUCCCGAAACUGUUCGCCUAGGGACUGGUAGAGGCUGGUAGAAUUCCCGGUGUAGCGGUGGAAUGCGUAGAGAUCGGGAAGAAUACCUGUGGCGAAGGCGGCCAGCUGGGCCAGAUCCGACACUGAGGCGCGAAAGCGUGGGGAGCAAACAGG